Long non-coding RNA from Equus caballus (horse), 3296 nucleotides. RefSeq lists it as uncharacterized. The record is from RefSeq and is a predicted model, not a curated record. Lineage: Eukaryota; Metazoa; Chordata; Mammalia; Perissodactyla; Equidae.
UGUUUGCGGCCAGAUGUUCGCGGGAGGGGGGAGCCUGGGAAAACUCGGCUCGCCUUCCCGCCGCCCUCCCCUGCGGCUGCUGGGGGCGGGCCUGGAGCAAGGUGCGGCUGGUGUGGCCAUCGCCGGGGGCAACUGGGCAGGGGCCGCCGGGGACAGGGACUGAGGGCUUCUCUGGUCGAAGCGUUUAACUACUAGCGAGCCCCUGUACCCUCCGACCCCAACCGUCCCACCGUCUUGCUGUGAAGUACCAGAAAGACAUCUCAGGAACCUGGUGUGAACGCCCCUCCCCGUGUGUAUCAGUGCGGUGUCCUGCACGCGAAGGUGUCAGCGCAGCCCCCCGCCCCGGCUGCAUCACCAGCACCACCACCGUCCUGGCAGCAGCGUGCUGGCUGACGUUUAUUCAACCGUUCUCUGAUUUUGUUCUCACAGCCACCCUCGCGCAAGGUGCUCUGAGUAACACCUCCAAUGGAGGGGCGAGGAACACGGAGGGCCUGAGUGCUAGGUGACUCGGCGAAGGUCGCAGCAACUAUUAGGGGAAAAAUAUUCCAGGCAGAAGUCACAACCAGUGCAAAGGUCCUGAGGCAGAAGUGUGCCUGUCCACAGUUCCUGAGCCUGUCACCUAGCACCAUUCCCAAAGGUAUCCUCCCAGCCACACCGUGACUCCAGUUCUGCAGAUGGGAAAACUGGGGCUUCGGAGUGACCCAGGCAGAGGGGAGCGUGGACCAUAGAACGACACUGGAACACACAGGCUCACGCGCACGUGGGCAGAAAGAAGGUCGAACAGCACGAGUUCCCCAGCUCGUACAAGCAGAGCCUUUGCGAGCACCAUCUUACCAACCGGAACACUUCCGCAGUGCACGCACGCAACCUCCCUCCCUCUCACCUUCUCUCUCUCACCCCCACCAGUGCAGGCGCUUGCUCACAAACUUCUCACAACCACACACACUUACACACACCAAGUUUGUUCCAGAUGCAGAAGCAAACACAACCAGGUAGAAACCCACCUACAGCACCAUCCCACAGAGGAUUCCAGCAUCCCCACGCUCACCCACACGCUUGGACCAUCCCGACACUCACGAGAAUACACGCUGUCUUUCACACACAAGCGGUAGCUGCUGAGAGAACCUGUCAAGCGGAGAGGACCUGGGGCCAGCAGAAGGCGACUCGGCCCCUCCCCCAGCCCCACACCUCGGCAGCUGGCUCUCCAGCCUUGGCCCCCUGGGUUUUCUCCACUCCCCCACCAUCUGUGACACGUGUGUCUUCUCUGCCUCCACCUCCCCUCCCCUACUCCAGGGCCCCCGCUGGACCCUGGGGUAGCCUGAGAAGGGGUGGGCACCUGCCUGCGGGGGAGAGGCACGUGGAGGCCUUAAAUGCAGCGCCAAGGGGCUCAGCCUUAUCUGGGGUGCUCCCUCCCCCCUGGGCUGGUCCCAGGCAGGCACAGGGCCGGGCCACUCCACAGCUUUGAGGAGGGCAGGGCGCAGAGGGGAGGACGGCCCCUUGCAGACCCCAGCGAGCCUCAUCCGGCACCAUGCGGGGGGGUCUGCCUUCACAUGCAGAUGGGCUGUUUGUCUCACUGGGUCUGUCUUAAAAUGAUAAAGAGGUUGGAUGCUGUCUGGGUACCUGAUGAGGUGAUGACAACUGACCAAAAUGGGGAGGGGGAGGUUGUUAACUGUGGAAAGAAAAGAGAUGUCAAAAUAGUAUGCACUGCAGAUAUGAUUUGUGUUAAAAAAUACAUAAUAAACAGAAAAAAAGUCUGAAAUCUAAGUUAAGGUGUUAAUGGCAGUGACCUCUGGAUGGCAGGGUUAUGCUGUUUUAGUUUUUCAUUUUUUUACGUAUACUGUAAUUUUCUACAAGGUAUGUGUAUGCAGCUUCUGGAUAAUAAAAGGUUUUAUAAAUGAGUAUUUAAUGACAGGAAAAAUGACAAGGGGGUGGUGGCCUCCUGGGAGCCCAGAGCCCGGGAAGGCUCCUUAUUGCCGUGUGGGCAGGUCCUUCUCUGUGCCUUUACUUCCUCAUCUGUUGAUGGAGACUCACCACGUGGAGGGGGACGUGAGCGGUAAGGAUGUAAUGCAUGGAAACGCUUGGAGCGGGGCGGCGCACAGUAAAUGCUCAGUGAUGGUGGCUGCUGCCACUCUUCCGAGAAGGCUGUUUACACUGCCCGGUAGAGACUGGACUCCUCCACCAGGAGGGGUGGGUGUGCAUGAGUCCCCUAGGCUGGCUCAUGUGCAGAUUCACACACAUAUAGGUCUGCCCAGGCACAUAUGUGUGCCUUGUGCACACCCAAAGUGUGUACAUUGCAUGAGGCGCAUUGCACUCGUGUGGGGGCAUCAGGCACAUACACAAGUGUGUGCAAACAGGAUCACAGGAUCUUGGCUCUGAGAACACUGGAGCAUGGGACAUUCUGUUUCAACCUCAGUCCUCUAUCCCUGGCACUCUCAGCCCUCUGGUCCCUUCAGCUCAGGGAUGCUGGGAAUUUAGGCUUCUUCCUGGUACCUGACCGGACCCAGGGACCUGGAGGGGGUCUUAGGACAUUUGAAGGGUGGGAGUGGUGCAGACUGAAUAACCUCUAAGAAAGAGGAAAUUGCUAAGUAGAGCCGAGACUCCUGGGUUUGUGGUCCUGCCAUGCUGCAGAGGGACAUCUGGAUGACCCUGGGUCUAUCCUCUGUCCCGCUUUGAGUCCUCGGUCUCUCCCGUGCAUGCACCCAGUGGGUCCUUGCCUGUUUAUCACUCAGAGCAUCAUCAUCAUCAUCACUGGCUUGGAGUCCCCUCCAUGACUUCCUGGCCUUCUCCAUUUGUAAAGCUGAGGAAGAACUAUGUCACGCCCCUGCUGAGAAUCCUUCCUUGGCUCCCCACUGCCUUCAGGAUAAAGCCUCCGCUCCCUGGCCUGGGCUGGUGGGAUCUGCUCCCCUUUCCUCCUCUCUCCUUUCUUUUCUUCACUCUGCUGGCCUUUUCUCUCUGCUCAGACUGGGACCCCCUCCCGGAAGUGGUGACGAAGGGUCAAUGAGGGCAGGGAGCUUCCUCUUCUCUUCUUUGUAUUUAAUUUGAAGUCCAACAAAUUUGCAUUCAAAUCUCAUCUUUGCCAUUUUCUAGUUCUUUGUGACCUAGAAAGGACUGUCUCUGAGUUUUAGAUGCCUCCUUUGCCAGAUGGAGAUAAUAGUUAAUCUUUCUUUUUGGGUUUAUUUUUAUUUUCAACUCUAUCUGUUUUUGAAAAAUACGUUCACUUGGCUCAAAAAUUUAAAAACACAAGAUAUACAAAAGAUUACACAUACAGGAAAAAUUUCCUUCAAGCCACCCCGCUC